This 1141-nucleotide long non-coding RNA is filed under the name Ananas comosus (pineapple). RNAcentral's name for it is "long non-coding RNA (ACOM_LNC011898)". The record is from RNAcentral. Lineage: Eukaryota; Viridiplantae; Streptophyta; Magnoliopsida; Poales; Bromeliaceae.
CUCUUAGGGCGUGUUUGGUUCGCUUCUUUUUCACCCUGGAAUCGGAAUCGGAAUGGGUAAAAUCCUUUAUGGGUGUUUGGUAUACAGGAGUCCCAUUCCUAUUCCGAUUCCCGAGUGGAAUGGGAAUCCUUCAAUCACCUCGUUUUUCAAUCCGGCCUAGGAGGCCGGAUUGAAAGUUGAAUCCGGAUGGAAUAGAUAUUUAUUCAGAUUAAAUUUAUUUUUUCAAUUUUGUUAAUUAAAAUAUGAGUUAAAAUUUAAAAAUUAAAUAUAUAAUUUUAAAUUUUAAAUUUUAAUUUAAACUUAAAUUAAAAUAUUUACUCACAUAUUUUAAAUUUUUGAUGUAAACUUGAGGUUUGAUUAUUUUACUCACAUAUUUCCAUCUUACUUCUGUACUUGGUGAGCUCGACCUAAGCAUUUAAGAAGCACAUACAUUUUCAACAAAUGAUGGCUACUCAUUAGAUGUCUUCUUGUUGUUGGAGAGCAUUAUUAGGUACUCUCCAUGUCUCAAAUUUACAUCAGAUUUCUUGCUAAAGAGCUAACAAAUCUGCCAUGUAUUAUUAUAUACAGCUUUCCUUCUUAAGAGACACUUUAUGAUAUAUUUACUAGCUAGACCAGCAAUUUAUGCAUUUUAAUUUUCACUUUCAUCAUCAGAAAUUGAAAAUAACUUAGUUAACAAGCUGUGUAUUGAAGUAAUGUUCCGCUUGUAGUUGCUGAACAUUAAAAAAUAAAUAUAACCAUGUAUUGAAAUUAUAAUUUGAGAGGGAAGACAAUUUAUUAUAUAAAUUAUUAAUGCUCUUUGGUUAUUACUAUUUUUUAAUAUUUUAAAUUUAUUAUAGUAUAUAGUUGUAGAACAAGUAUUUUAAUAUUAAUUGUAAUUGCCGCUAUAAGCUUUAUUUAUCAAACAUUUAGUAUGUUUUUAGUGGCAAUUAUAAUUAAUUGUAGUGGCAUUUAUAAUAGUUGCUAUUAUAUAGUAUUUAGCGGCAUUUAUUUGGGCUUUUAUCAACCGUUGAAAUAAAUAUCAUUAUAAUUUUUAGCGACCCUACCAAUAGUGAUAAUUGUUAUAAUUGUCACGGAACUAUUUAGCGGCAAUUAUAUUUGUUGCGAAUUUAAAAAAUAAUCAUCACUAAAAUUUAAUUUUAUU